CAGUCGCCGCGGUAAUACGAAGGGGGCUAGCGUUGUUCGGAUUUACUGGGCGUAAAGGGCGCGUAGGCGGACUGAUAAGUCAAGGGUGAAAUCCCAAGGCUCAACCCUGGAACUGCCUUUGAUACUGUUUGUCUUGAGUUCGAGAGAGGUAAGUGGAACUGCGAGUGUAGAGGUGAAAUUCGUAGAUAUUCGCAAGAACACCAGUGGCGAAGGCGGCUUACUGGCUCGAAACUGACGCUGAGGCGCGAAAGCGUGGGGAGCAAACAGGAUUAGAUACCCCAGUAGUCCCUGUCUCUUAUAC
Molecule: ribosomal RNA, 301 nt
Filed under: uncultured bacterium
Lineage: Bacteria
Description: partial 16S ribosomal RNA
Rfam family: Bacterial small subunit ribosomal RNA
Source: RNAcentral